RNAcentral lists this ribosomal RNA (771 nucleotides) under uncultured bacterium. RNAcentral's name for it is "bacterial SSU rRNA". It matches the Rfam family "Bacterial small subunit ribosomal RNA", at positions 8 to 796 of the family's 1533-position model. The record is from RNAcentral.
AGAGUUUGAUCCUGGCUCAGGACGAACGCUAGCGGCGUGCUUAACACAUGCAAGUCGAACGGAAAGGCCCUUCGGGGUACUCGAGUGGCGAACGGGUGAGUAACACGUGGGUGAUCUGCCCUGCACUUUGGGAUAAGCCUGGGAAACUGGAUCUAAUACCGAAUAUGACCAUGCACUUCCUGGUGUGUGGUGGAAAGCUUUUGCGGUGUGGGAUGGGCCCGCGGCCUAUCAGCUUGUUGGUGGGGUAAUGGCCUACCAAGGCGACGACGGGUAGCCGGCCUGAGAGGGUGACCGGCCACACUGGGACUGAGAUACGGCCCAGACUCCUACGGGAGGCAGCAGUGGGGAAUAUUGCACAAUGGGCGCAAGCCUGAUGCAGCGACGCCGCGUGAGGGAUGACGGCCUUCGGGUUGUAAACCUCUUUCAGCACAGACGAAGCGCAAGUGACGGUAUGUGCAGAAGAAGGACCGGCCAACUACGUGCCAGCAGCCGCGGUAAUACGUAGGGUCCGAGCGUUGUCCGGAAUUACUGGGCGUAAAGAGCUCGUAGGUGGUUUGUCGCGUUGUUCGUGAAAACUCACAGCUUAACUGUGGGCGUGCGGGCGAUACGGGCAGACUUGAGUACUGCAGGGGAGACUGGAAUUCCUGGUGUAGCGGUGGAAUGCGCAGAUAUCAGGAGGAACACCGGUGGCGAAGGCGGGUCUCUGGGCAGUAACUGACGCUGAGGAGCGAAAGCGUGGGGAGCGAACAGGAUUAGAUACCCUGGUAGUCC